This 448-nucleotide ribosomal RNA is filed under the name uncultured soil bacterium. RNAcentral's name for it is "bacterial SSU rRNA". It matches the Rfam family "Bacterial small subunit ribosomal RNA", at positions 26 to 518 of the family's 1533-position model. The record is from RNAcentral.
AGAACGAACGCUGGCGGCAUGCCUAAUACAUGCAAGUCGAACGAACACUUCGGUGUUAGUGGCGCACGGGUGCGUAACGCGUGGGAAUCUGCCCUUGGGUUCGGAAUAACAGUUGGAAACGACUGCUAAUACCGGAUGAUAUCGAAAGAUCAAAGAUUUAUCGCCCAGGGAUGAGCCCGCGUAGGAUUAGCUAGUUGGUGAGGUAAAGGCUCACCAAGGCGACGAUCCUUAGCUGGUCUGAGAGGAUGAUCAGCCACACUGGGACUGAGACACGGCCCAGACUCCUACGGGAGGCAGCAGUAGGGAAUAUUGGACAAUGGGCGCAAGCCUGAUCCAGCAAUGCCGCGUGAGUGAUGAAGGCCUUAGGGUUGUAAAGCUCUUUUACCCGAGAUUGAUAAUGACAGUAUCGGAAGAAUAAGCCCCGGACUAACUCCGCGCCAGCAGCCGC